This 471-nucleotide ribosomal RNA is filed under the name Plectostoma crassipupa. Its description in RNAcentral is "Opisthostoma crassipupa partial 16S ribosomal RNA". It matches the Rfam family "Bacterial large subunit ribosomal RNA", at positions 1931 to 2620 of the family's 2925-position model. The record is from RNAcentral. Lineage: Eukaryota; Metazoa; Mollusca; Gastropoda; Architaenioglossa; Diplommatinidae.
CCGCGGUAUCCUAACCGUGCGAAGGUAGCAUAAUAAUUUGUCUUUUAAUUGGAGGAUAGAAUGAAUGAUUUAACGAGGGUACAGCUGUCUUAUGUGCAUUUAUUAGAAGUUAAUUUUUAGGUUAAAAAGCCUAAAUAAAAUUAAAGGACGAGAAGACCCUGUUAAGCUUAAAAGAAUUUAUUAAUUAUUAUUAUAGCAUAAAAUGUAAUAUUAACGAUGAAAUUUUAGUUGGGGCGACUUGGGAGCAAUUAAAACCUCCUUUAAUUUAAUAAAGUUUAAUGUGGGGUCCAAUGGAUUUUGAGGUAAAAACAAGUUACUACAGGGAUAACAGCGUAAUUUUAUUUGAGAGUUCUAAUCGAAAAUAAAGUUUGCGACCUCGAUGUUGGAUUAAGAAGUAGUAAAAGUUGCAGAAGCUUUUACAACUAGUCUGUUCGACUAAUAAUAUCUUACAUGAUCUGAGUUCAAACCGGA